GAUGAACGCUAGCGGCAGGCUUAAUACAUGCAAGUCGAGGGGCAGCACAGGGUAGCAAUACCUGGGUGGCGACCGGCAAACGGGUGCGGAACACGUACAGAACCUUCCUUCGAGCGGGGAAUAGCCCAGAGAAAUUUGGAUUAAUACCCCAUAGCAUAAUGGAGUGGCCUCACUUUGUUAUUAAAGAUUUAUCACUUGAAGAUGGCUGUGCGUAUGAUUAGGUAGUUGGCGGGGUAACGGCACACCAAGCCUACGAUCAUUACACUGGUGUGAGAGCACGAACAGUCACACGGGCACUGAGACACGGGCCCGACUCCGACGGGAGGCAGCAGUAAGGAAUAUUGGUCAAUGGACGCAAGUCUGAACCAGCCAUGCCGCGUGGAGGAUGAAGGUCCUCUGGAUUGUAAACUUCUUUUAUCUGGGACGAAAAAAGGGAAUUCUUUCUCGUCUGACGGUACCAGAUGAAUAAGCACCGGCUAACUCCGUGCCAGCAGCCGCGGUAA
RNAcentral lists this ribosomal RNA (503 nucleotides) under uncultured bacterium. RNAcentral describes it as "partial 16S ribosomal RNA". It matches the Rfam family "Bacterial small subunit ribosomal RNA", at positions 28 to 523 of the family's 1533-position model. The record is from RNAcentral.